CCUACGGGAGGCAGCAGUGAGGAAUAUUGGUCAAUGGGCGCGAGCCUGAACCAGCCAAGUAGCGUGAAGGAUGACUGCCCUACGGGUUGUAAACUUCUUUUAUAAGGGAAUAAAGUGAGGCACGUGUGCCUUUUUGUAUGUCCUUUAUGAAUGAGCAUCGGCUAACUCCGUGCCAGCAGCCGCGGUAAUACGGAGGAUCCGAGCGUUGUCCGGAUUUAUUGGGUUUAAAGGGAGCGUAGAUGGGUUGGUAAGUUAGUUGUGAAAGUUUGCGGCUCAACCUUAAAAUUGCAAUUGAUACUGGCAGUCUUGAGUACAGUUGAGGUAGGCGGAAUUCGUGGUGUAGCGGUGAAAUGCGUAGAUAUUACGAAGAACUCCGAUUGCGAAGGCAGCUUACUAAACUGCCACUGACACUGAUGCUCGAAAGUGUGGGUAGCAAACAGGAUUAGAUACCCCUGUAGUC
RNAcentral lists this ribosomal RNA (460 nucleotides) under uncultured bacterium. Its description in RNAcentral is "partial 16S ribosomal RNA". It matches the Rfam family "Bacterial small subunit ribosomal RNA", at positions 338 to 795 of the family's 1533-position model. The record is from RNAcentral.